UUUGGAGGGGCAAGUCUGGUGCCAGCAGCCGCGGUAAUUCAGCUCCAAUAGCGUAUAUUAAAGUUGUUGCAGUUAAAAAGCUCGUAGUUGAACUUCGGGGUUCACCCAUUGGUCAGGCUUAAUUGUCUGCACUGGUGAGAUGAGUCUCUACCUUCUGAGGAACUUUCAUGUCAUUAAUUUGGUGUGAUUGGAAAUCAGGACUGUUACUUUGAAAAAAUUAGAGUGUUUAAAGCAGGCUAACGUCUGAAUACAUUAGCAUGGAAUAAUGAAAUAGGACGGACUGAUUCUAUUUCGUUGGUUUCUAGGAUCACCGUAAUGAUUAAUAGGGAUAGUUGGGGGCAUUAGUAUUCAAUUGUCAGAGGUGAAAUUCUUGGAUUUAUUGAAGACUAACUACUGCGAAAGCAUUUGCCAAGGAUGUUUUCAUUAAUCAAGAACGAAAGUUAGGGGAUCGAAGACGAUCAGAUACCGUCGUAGUCUUAACCAUAAACUAUGCCGACUAGGGAUCGGACGAAGUUAAUUUUAUAAUGACGCGUUCGGCACCUUACGGGAAACCAAAGUGUUUGGGUUCA
This 569-nucleotide ribosomal RNA is filed under the name Diversispora celata. RNAcentral describes it as "SSU rRNA". It matches the Rfam family "Eukaryotic small subunit ribosomal RNA", at positions 539 to 1115 of the family's 1831-position model. Lineage: Eukaryota; Fungi; Glomeromycota; Glomeromycetes; Diversisporales; Diversisporaceae. The record is from RNAcentral.